UCAGCCUCUAAUACCAAAAAUGGUGGUCUCUAGUACACUGGUAAAACUCUCAACCUCUCCAAAAUAAAGUACAACGAGAGGUAGACCACCUAGCAAGUCGUCCUCGUAGGAAGCUAGCUCGAAGCAACUCCCUUCCCGCGGUCCCUGGCCUCACCCUGAGUGGAAGGCUCUGAAAAACAUCGAGAAAAAGAGGGCGUGAGAACUAUAAUUUAUAGUUCCCAGUGGGCAAUUACUGACCUCAGCUC
This 245-nucleotide long non-coding RNA is filed under the name Ananas comosus (pineapple). RNAcentral describes it as "long non-coding RNA (ACOM_LNC021207)". Lineage: Eukaryota; Viridiplantae; Streptophyta; Magnoliopsida; Poales; Bromeliaceae. The record is from RNAcentral.